GACGAACGCUGGCGGCGUGCUUAACACAUGCAAGUCGAACGGAAAGGCCCUGCUUUUGUGGGGUGCUCGAGUGACGAACGGGUGAGUAACACGUGAGUAACCUGCCCUUGACUUUGGGAUAACUUCAGGAAACUGGGGCUAAUACCGGAUAGGAGCUCCUGCUGCAUGGUGGGGGUUGGAAAGUUUCGGCGGUUGGGGAUGGACUCGCGGCUUAUCAGCUUGUUGGUGGGGUAGUGGCUUACCAAGGCUUUGACGGGUAGCCGGCCUGAGAGGGUGACCGGCCACAUUGGGACUGAGAUACGGCCCAGACUCCUACGGGAGGCAGCAGUGGGGAAUAUUGCACAAUGGGCGGAAGCCUGAUGCAGCAACGCCGCGUGCGGGAUGACGGCCUUCGUGUUGUAAACCGCUUUCGCCUGUGACGAAGCGUGAGUGACGGUAAUGGGUAAAGAAGCACCGGCUAACUACGUG
Molecule: ribosomal RNA, 468 nt
Filed under: uncultured bacterium
Lineage: Bacteria
Description: partial 16S ribosomal RNA
Rfam family: Bacterial small subunit ribosomal RNA
Source: RNAcentral